This 75-nucleotide ribosomal RNA is filed under the name Ruminococcus intestinalis. RNAcentral describes it as "partial 23S ribosomal RNA". Lineage: Bacteria; Bacillati; Bacillota; Clostridia; Eubacteriales; Oscillospiraceae. The record is from RNAcentral.
AGGUUGAUAGGCUGCGUGUGUAAGUGUCGUGAGGCAUUUAGCUUGGCAGUACUAAUAGGUCGAGGGCUUGACCAC